GUUUAUUAGCCAUCCUGUAGACUAGAAAUUAUGGAAUGCCGAUUGUUUCAAUAAUACUUCUGUUCCAAAUAUAAUACUUCUUUGCAAUUAUAAUACUUCGUGUCACACUUAUAAAACUUAUCAUCACUAAUAUAAAACUUCCAUGUAUAAAUAUCAUACUUCAUUGUAAAUAUAAAACUUCUUUGUAAAUAUAAUACUUCAUUGUAUUAAAAUAUAAUACUUGAUCGUAAUGCGCCGAUCAAAACGAAGGUGUAACAUCCCCCCCCCCGGGCAUAUACCCGGGCAUUUGACUUUUUGCAUUUUGCAGUGAUCAAAUUCCCCCACCCCAAGUCAAAUCAAAGGCCUUCGAGGCCGACUCACGGAUGAGAUCAAAUUAAUUAAAGGGGGAUAUGAUUUACAGCAUUUUUUUACAAAUGGGAACCGUGCAAGGGCAAGGACAUUAUUUGGUAAAACACAACAUAAUAUAAAAUGUUCCCGAACUGGGGCGAAGAUCUUACAGGUUUUUAAACAGUUUAAUUUUAACGACAUCCUCGAUUUUAACAAUAAGAGACCGGUCAUCAUUUAUGGAAGGGG
This is a non-coding RNA of Paramuricea clavata, 573 nucleotides long. The record is from the annotation of a GenBank genome assembly. Lineage: Eukaryota; Metazoa; Cnidaria; Anthozoa; Malacalcyonacea; Plexauridae.